CUUUGGUACUAUUUUGUUGGUUUAUAGGACCGAAGUAAUGAUUAAUAGGGACAGUUGGGGGCAUUCGUAUUUUACAGUCAGAGGUGAAAUUCUUAGAUUUGUGAAAGACGAACUUCUGCGAAAGCAUUUGCCAAGGAUGUUUUCAUUAAUCAAGAACGAAAGUUAGGGGAUCGAAGACGAUCAGAUACCGUCGUAGUCUUAACCAUAAACGAUGCCGACUAGGGAUUGGUGGAUGUUAAAUUUCUGACUCCAUCAGCACCUCCAGAGAAAUCGCAAGUUUUUGGGUUCCGGGGGGAGUAUGGUCGCAAGGCUGAAACUUAAAGGAAUUGACGGAAGGGCACCACCAGGAGUGGAGCCUGCGGCUUAAUUUGACUCAACACGGGGAAACUCACCAGGUCCAGA
RNAcentral lists this ribosomal RNA (402 nucleotides) under uncultured fungus. Its description in RNAcentral is "SSU rRNA". It matches the Rfam family "Eukaryotic small subunit ribosomal RNA", at positions 828 to 1228 of the family's 1831-position model. The record is from RNAcentral. Lineage: Eukaryota; Fungi.